AUUGAACGCUGGCAGCAGGCCUAACACAUGCAAGUCGAACGGUAACAGGAAGCAGCUUGCUGCUUCGCUGACGAGUGGCGGACGGGUGAGUAAUGUCUGGGAAGCUGCCUGAUGGAGGGGAUAACUACUGGAAACGGUAGCUAAUACCGCAUAAUGUCGCAAGACCAAAGAGGGGGGACCUUCGGGCCUCUUGCCAUCGGAUGUGCCCAGAUGGGAUUAGCUUGUUGGUGGGGUAACGGCUCACCAAGGCGACGAUCCCUAGCUGGUCUGAGAGGGUGACCAGCCACACUGGAACUGAGACACGGUCCAGACUCCUACGGGAGGCAGCAGUGGGGAAUAUUGCACAAUGGGCGCAAGCCUGAUGCAGCCAUGCCGCGUGUAUGAAGAAGGCCUUC
This 395-nucleotide ribosomal RNA is filed under the name uncultured bacterium. RNAcentral's name for it is "bacterial SSU rRNA". It matches the Rfam family "Bacterial small subunit ribosomal RNA", at positions 30 to 419 of the family's 1533-position model. The record is from RNAcentral.